CUACGGGGGGCAGCAGUGGGGAAUAUUGCACAGUGGGCGCAAGCCUGAUGCAGCCAUGCCGCGUGUAUGAAGAAGGCCUUCGGGUUGUAAAGUACUUUCAGCGGGGAGGAAGGGAGUAAAGUUAAUACCUUUGCUCAUUGACGUUACCCGCAGAAGAAGCACCGGCUAACUCCGUGCCAGCAGCCGCGGUAAUACGGAGGGUGCAAGCGUUAAUCGGAAUUACUGGGCGUAAAGCGCACGCAGGCGGUUUGUUAAGUCAGAUGUGAAAUCCCCGGGCUCAACCUGGGAACUGCAUCUGAACUGGCAAGCUUGAGUCUCGUAGAGGGGGGUAGAAUUCCAGGUGUAGCGGUGAAAUGCGUAGAGAUCUGGAGGAAUACCGGUGGCGAAGGCGGCCCCCUGGACGAAGACUGACGCUCAGGUGCGAAAGCGUGGGGAGCAAACAGGAUUAGAUACCCCUGUAGUC
This 463-nucleotide ribosomal RNA is filed under the name uncultured bacterium. RNAcentral describes it as "partial 16S ribosomal RNA". It matches the Rfam family "Bacterial small subunit ribosomal RNA", at positions 339 to 795 of the family's 1533-position model. The record is from RNAcentral.